This 301-nucleotide ribosomal RNA is filed under the name uncultured bacterium. Its description in RNAcentral is "partial 16S ribosomal RNA". It matches the Rfam family "Bacterial small subunit ribosomal RNA", at positions 509 to 809 of the family's 1533-position model. The record is from RNAcentral.
CAGCAGCCGCGGGAAUACGAAGGGUGCAAGCGUUAAUCGGAAUUACUGGGCGUAAAGCGUGCGUAGGCGGUGAGUUAAGUCUGCUGUGAAAUCCCCGGGCUCAACCUGGGAAUGGCAGUGGAUACUGGCUCGCUAGAGUGUGUCAGAGGAUGGUGGAAUUCCCGGUGUAGCGGUGAAAUGCGUAGAGAUUGGGAGGAACAUCAGUGGCGGAGGCGGCCAUCUGGGACAACACUGACGCUGAGGCACGAAAGCGUGGGGAGCAAACAGGAUUAGAUACCCGUGUAGUCCCUGUUUCUUAUAA